GGUGAACGCUGGCGGCGUGCCUAAUACAUGCAAGUCGAGCGAACGGACGAUAAGCUUUCUUCUCUGAUGUUAGCGGCUGACGGGUGAGUAACACGUGGAUAACCUACCUCUAAUUCUUGGAUAACUUCGGGAAACCGGAGCUAAUACCGGAUGAUAUUUUGAACCGCAUGGUUCAAAAGUGAAAGACGGUCUUGCUGUCACUUAUAGAUGGAUCCGCGCUGCAUUAGCUAGUUGGUAAGGGAACGGCUUACCAAGGCAACGAUGCAUAGCCGACCUGAGAGGGUGAUUGGCCACAAUGGAAACGAGACACGGUCCCGGAUCCUACGGGAGGCAGCAGGAGGGAAUCAUCCGCAAUGGGCGGAAGCCUGACGGAGCAACGCCGGGGGAGGUAUGAAGGUCUUCGGAGCGUAAAACUCUGUUAUUAGGGAAGAAAAUAUGUGUAAGUAACUGUGCACAUCUUGAAGGUAACUAAUCAGAAAGCCACGGCUAACUACGUG
This 497-nucleotide ribosomal RNA is filed under the name uncultured bacterium. Its description in RNAcentral is "partial 16S ribosomal RNA". It matches the Rfam family "Bacterial small subunit ribosomal RNA", at positions 28 to 507 of the family's 1533-position model. The record is from RNAcentral.